UACGUAGGGGGCAAGCGUUGUCCGGAUUUAUUGGGCGUAAAGAGCGUGUAGGCGGUCAGGUAGGUCCGUUGUGAAAACUCGAGGCUCAACCUCGAGACGCCGAUGGAAACCAUCUGACUAGAGUCCGGAAGAGGAGAGUGGAAUUCCUGGUGUAGCGGUGAAAUGCGCAGAUAUCAGGAAGAACACCCGUGGCUAAGGCGGCUCUCUAGUACGGUACUGACGCUGAGACGCGAAAGCAUGGGGAGCAAACAGG
This 253-nucleotide ribosomal RNA is filed under the name uncultured bacterium. Its description in RNAcentral is "partial 16S ribosomal RNA". It matches the Rfam family "Bacterial small subunit ribosomal RNA", at positions 524 to 776 of the family's 1533-position model. The record is from RNAcentral.